AACGAACGCUGGCGGCAUGCCUAACACAUGCAAGUCGAACGAGACCUUCGGGUCUAGUGGCGCACGGGUGCGUAACGCGUGGGAACCUGCCCUUAGGUUCGGAAUAACUCCCCGAAAGGGGUGCUAAUACCGGAUAAUGUCUUCGGACCAAAGAUUUAUCGCCGUUGGAUGGGCCCGCGUUGGAUUAGCUAGUUGGUAGGGUAAAAGCCUACCAAGGCGACGAUCCAUAGCUGGUCUGAGAGGAUGAUCAGCCACACUGGGACUGAGACACGGCCCCGACUCCUACGGGAGGCAGCAGUGGGGAAUAUUGUACACUGGGCGCAAGCCUGAUCCAGCAAUGCCGCGUGAGUGAUGAAGGCCUUAGGGUUGUAAAGCUCUUUUACCCGGGAUGAUAAUGACAGUACCGGGAGAAUAAGCUCCGGCUAACUCCGUG
RNAcentral lists this ribosomal RNA (433 nucleotides) under uncultured bacterium. Its description in RNAcentral is "partial 16S ribosomal RNA". It matches the Rfam family "Bacterial small subunit ribosomal RNA", at positions 29 to 507 of the family's 1533-position model. The record is from RNAcentral.